GGAUGCUCGGUCUCAUGCAGUAAAUGUCCACAUGUGACGGUCUCAUGUGGAGGCUCUCGGUGCUUACCCGCACGCUGAAGCUCAGUCGCACCAGGCACUGUUCUGGGCUCAGAGACACCAGAGGAAAGAGACAACCCUGUCUUCACGGAGCUUCCACUUUAGCAGGAGAGACAAGCAAUAAACAAAUGAGGAAAUCGAGGCACAGGGAGAUGAAUCCCUUACUGAAAUCACAGCUGGUAAGCAGAGAGACCAGAGUUCUCACUAGGCUGUCUGGCUCUAGAAGCUGCAAUCUUUGAUCACGUCUCUUUUACUGAGGUAAAUAUGUGGAGUUAAAUAUACCAAGUAUAUAUUAAAUAAGUGAAUCAAUGAACAAGAGACAAAAGAAUGAAGUUUGGGGUGGAGUGAUGGGCUGAGAAAAAGGUGGAGAGCGAUUCUGGCAGAAGAGGGGACCAGCUUGGCGCCCUGCUGGGAAGCCCUAGGGAUGGGAGGAGAAGGUGGAUGGGGCCAGAUGGUGGGGGUCUGGAAGGCCAAAUACAGGGGCUUGAAACUGAGCUCACUCCAUUAUUCAGAGACCUGGCCACAGUGAAGUGCCAUGGGGACAGGCCACCUGGAUCCUUCUUUGUGGAUAAAUUGGCGAGCUGAGUCCAGGGCUCUGGGAGAGCUCAUGGCUGAAGGCGGAGUAACAGUGUUAGUUAGAACGAAAGUUCAACUGUCCACCUGGGGUUGGAACCCCAGUGCCUUUGCUUCCUGGCCAGGGGACCUUAGGGCAAGUCACUUCCCGUUAUUGAGCUUCAAGUUUCUUAUCUGAAUCAACUUGAAGAGAUAAAAGUCACUAGCCCCGUGCCCGACACGAUAAAUGUACUCAAUGCAUGCUCUUCUACUAUGAAGCAAGGCCUUUAAAGUAGCUCUAAGUUGACUAAAGGAUCUAGUGGAAAAGGUGAACAACAUGCAUAAACAGAUGGGGAAUUUAGGAAGCGAGAAGGACACGUUUUAAAAAGAAGCCGGCUGGAAAUGCUAAAGCCACGCUAAAAAAGAAAACUAUGAUGUCAGAGAAAAAGAAGUCUUAUGAUGAGAUUGUCAACAGAUUCUACCCAGGGAGAAAAGUGAACAUGGUAAUGGGGCAAGAGAAAUCAUCCAAACUGAAAAUAAAAAUUCAUAGUGCGGGCUUCCUAGAUUUAUUAAGACGAUGGAAGCCCAAUGCCAGACACGUGAGCUCAAUGGUAUCAUUCCUUCACUCAUGGAACAAACGGGUUUUGAGCUCCUCAUAUGCAUCAGAUAGUGUUUUCAGACUAGGAUCGCAACAGUGAUCAAGAGAACAAAGGUCCCUGCAAUCAUGAAACAUACAGCUUAGGGAAGAGUCAGACUAAUAAAUAAGUAAAACAGAUAAUAUGCAAAAUGGCAAUAUCACCUGUGGAUUAAAAGCACAGCAGGGGGUCAGGAAAAGUGAAGGGAGAUGCGAUUUUAGAUGAGGUACAAGGAGGCCUCAAUAAGAAGGUGAUAUUUGCGCAAAGGUCUAAAGGAGGCAAUGAAGGGACCCGUGUGAUUACCUGAAAGAGCAUUCUAGAGAGAAUGCAUGGCUGGUGCAAAGGUCCUGGGGCAUGAAUGCUCACAGUCAGCUAGUGGAAAAGCCAGAAGGCCAGAGCUGAAUGAUCUUGACCAAUGGGAAAUAAGAUCAGAGAGGUAAAGAGGAGGUGGGGGCCACCAGGAGGGAAGCAGAUGGUCAUGUUGGGAUGUUUACUUUAACAGUGACUAGGAUGGUGUCUGUUGGAGGAUUUUGGUCAGAAGAGUGACGGGAUCCCUCUGGCUUCUGGAGAGCAGACCAGAGAGGGCCAGGUGGAAGCUGGGAGGCCAGUGGGAAGUCUCUGGUGAAAUUAGGGCACCUGGAAUGAAGGUGAUGGCAGAGGAGGUGAUGGCAGGCUUUAGAUGCAGGGUGCAUUUCAAAGGCUGGGCCGAUGCCAGGAGAGUCAUGGUUACUGCUGCUGUUGUUAGGGCCCCUCACAAGCCUUUUCAGGGGGUCCCCACCCAGAGAAGCAGAAACAAAGGUGCCCACUUGGCCCCUCCUCCAGGGGCAUCUCACUAAUCUUGCUGGGUAACUGGUUGCCAAGAACACUCUCCCAGCACUGGGGUGCUGGGUAGGGCAGGAUCCUAGCCCCCAGGCAGCCGUGGCUGGGGAGGCAGGCUCAGGUCUGCUCUGCCAAAGCCCCAGCUCCACAGCUGCAAAGCUGAGUUGUUUACUCAGAAUCAGCAAAGGUCAAGAGCAUGUUCAUCUGAGGGAGCUGGUGCCUGCAGCACCAGGCAGUCCCCCUCUCCCUCUAAAUCUUCAUGGAGAGAGGAAGUGGACAGCCUCUCCAAGAUACCCCAACAUGCUCGCUCCCUUGUUCCCUCCCUCUCCUUCUGCGCAAGCCGCCCCUGCCUGGCUGGCUGUCAUGGGUCCCUUGCUGGUGCCUCUGCCUCCAUCCCACCCUGUUCCAUCCACCCCACUAAGGGCAAGAGAGAGGACCUUUCUGGGAGCUCCCUUUGUGACUCAGGGGUAACAAACCUGACUAGUAUCCAUGAGGAUCUGGAUUCAAUCCCUGGCCUCGCUCAGUGGGUUAAGAAUCUGGUGUUGCCAUGAGCUGUGGGGGAGGUCACAGGUGCGGCUUCGAUCCCGCAUUGCUCUGGCUGUGGCAUGGCCAGUGGCUGCAGCUCUGAUUCGACCCCUAGCCUGGGAACUUCCCUGUGCCUCGGGCGUGGCCCUUAAAAAAAAAAAAAAA
Molecule: long non-coding RNA, 2753 nt
Filed under: Sus scrofa (pig)
Lineage: Eukaryota; Metazoa; Chordata; Mammalia; Artiodactyla; Suidae
Description: lncRNA (ENSSSCG00055010233.1)
Source: RNAcentral